RNAcentral lists this ribosomal RNA (492 nucleotides) under uncultured bacterium. RNAcentral describes it as "partial 16S ribosomal RNA". It matches the Rfam family "Bacterial small subunit ribosomal RNA", at positions 29 to 507 of the family's 1533-position model. The record is from RNAcentral.
AGUGAACGCUGGCGGUAGGCCUAACACAUGCAAGUCGAACGGCAGCACAGUAAGAGCUUGCUCUUACGGGUGGCGAGUGGCGGACGGGUGAGGAAUACAUCGGAAUCUACUUUUUCGUGGGGGAGAACGUAGGGAAACUUACGCUAAUACCGCAUACGACCUACGGGUGAAAGCAGGGGAUCUUCGGACCUUGCGCGAUUGAAUGAGCCGAUGUCGGAUUAGCUAGUUGGCGGGGUAAAGGCCCACCAAGGCGACGAUCCGUAGCUGGUCUGAGAGGAUGAUCAGCCACACUGGAACUGAGACACGGUCCAGACUCCUACGGGAGGCAGCAGUGGGGAAUAUUGGACAAUGGGCGAAAGCCUGAUCCAGCCAUACCGCGUGGGUGAAGAAGGCCUUCGGGUUGUAAAGCCCUUUUGUUGGGGAAGAAAAGCAGCAGGUUAAUACCCCGCUGUUCUGACGGUACCAAAAGAAUAAGCACCGGCUAACUUCGUG